Molecule: ribosomal RNA, 1400 nt
Filed under: uncultured bacterium
Lineage: Bacteria
Description: 16S ribosomal RNA
Rfam family: Bacterial small subunit ribosomal RNA
Source: RNAcentral
AGAGUUUGAUCCUGGCUCAGGAUGAACGCUAGCGACAGGCUUAACACAUGCAAGUCGAGGGGCAGCAGGGGAGUAGCAAUACUCCCGCUGGCGACCGGCGCACGGGUGAGUAACACGUAUGCAACCUGCCCUUGUCAGGGGGAUAAGCGGAAGAAAUUCCGUCUAAUACCGCAUAAUGCUGCGGGGAGACAUCUCCCUGCAGCCAAAGAUUUAUCGGACAAGGAUGGGCAUGCGGCGCAUUAGCUUGUUGGCGGGGUAACGGCCCACCAAGGCGACGAUGCGUAGGGGUUCUGAGAGGAAGGUCCCCCACACUGGUACUGAGACACGGACCAGACUCCUACGGGAGGCAGCAGUGAGGAAUAUUGGUCAAUGGCCGGGAGGCUGAACCAGCCAAGUCGCGUGAGGGAAGACGGUCCUAUGGAUUGUAAACCUCUUUUGUCAGGGAGCAAAAACUGCCACGUGUGGCAGGAUGAGAGUACCUGAAGAAAAAGCAUCGGCUAACUCCGUGCCAGCAGCCGCGGUAAUACGGAGGAUGCGAGCGUUAUCCGGAUUUAUUGGGUUUAAAGGGUGCGUAGGCGGACAGUUAAGUCAGCGGUAAAAUUGAGAGGCUCAACCUCUUCCCGCCGUUGAAACUGAUUGUCUUGAGUGGGCGAGAAGUAUGCGGAAUGCGUGGUGUAGCGGUGAAAUGCAUAGAUAUCACGCAGAACUCCGAUUGCGAAGGCAGCAUACCGGCGCCCAACUGACGCUGAAGCACGAAAGCGUGGGUAUCGAACAGGAUUAGAUACCCUGGUAGUCCACGCAGUAAACGAUGAAUACUAAUUGUUCGGGUCAAAUGAGAUCUGAGUGAUACAGCGAAAGCGUUAAGUAUUCCACCUGGGGAGUACGCCGGCAACGGUGAAACUCAAAGGAAUUGACGGGGGCCCGCACAAGCGGAGGAACAUGUGGUUUAAUUCGAUGAUACGCGAGGAACCUUACCCGGGCUCAAACAACACAGGAAUGAUCUGAGAAAUCAGGCAGUCCUCCGGGACCUGUGUCGAGGUGCUGCAUGGUUGUCGUCAGCUCGUGCCGUGAGGUGUCGGCUUAAGUGCCAUAACGAGCGCAACCCCCAUCGACAGUUGCCAGCAGGACAAGCUGGGCACUCUGUCGAGACUGCCGGCGCAAGCUGUGAGGAAGGCGGGGAUGACGUCAAAUCAGCACGGCCCUUACGUCCGGGGCGACACACGUGUUACAAUGGCAGGUACAGCGGGAAGCCACCUGGCGACAGGGAGCGGAACCCGAAAGCCUGUCUCAGUUCGGAUUGGAGUCUACAACUCGACUCCAUGAAGCUGGAUUCGCUAGUAACCGCGCAUCAGCCACGGCGCGGUGAAUACGUUCCCGGGCCUUGCACUCACCGCCCGUCA